GACGAACGCUGGCGGCGUGCUUAACACAUGUAAGUCGAACGGAAAGGCCCUGCUUUUGUGGGGUGCUCGAGUGGCGAACGGGUGAGUAACACGUGAGUCACCUGCCCUUGACUUUGGGAUAACUUCAGGAAACUGGGGCUAAUACCGGAUAGGAGCUCCUGCUGCAUGGUGGGGGUUGGAAAGUUUCGGCGGUUGGGGAUGGACUCGCGGCUUAUCAGCUAGUUGGUGGGGUAGUGGCUUACCAAGGCUUUGACGGGUAGCCGGCCUGAGAGGGUGACCGGCCACAUUGGGACUGAGAUACGGCCCAGACUCCUACGGGAGGCAGCAGUGGGGAAUAUUGCACAAUGGGCGGAAGCCUGAUGCAGCAACGCCGCGUGCGGGAUGACGGCCUUCGGGUUGUAAACCGCUUUCGCCUGUGACGAAGCGUGAGUGACGGUAAUGGGUAAAGAAGCACCGGCUAACUACGUG
This 468-nucleotide ribosomal RNA is filed under the name uncultured bacterium. RNAcentral's name for it is "partial 16S ribosomal RNA". It matches the Rfam family "Bacterial small subunit ribosomal RNA", at positions 28 to 507 of the family's 1533-position model. The record is from RNAcentral.